This 197-nucleotide ribosomal RNA is filed under the name uncultured bacterium. Its description in RNAcentral is "partial 16S ribosomal RNA". It matches the Rfam family "Bacterial small subunit ribosomal RNA", at positions 328 to 539 of the family's 1533-position model. The record is from RNAcentral.
ACGCUCGACACCUACGGAGGCAGCAGUGGGGAAUAUUGCACAAUGGGGGAAACCCUGAUGCAGCGACGCCGCGUGAGCGAAGAAGUAUUUCGGUAUGUAAAGCUCUAUCAGCAGGGAAGAAAAUGACGGUACCUGACUAAGAAGCACCGGCUAAAUACGUGCCAGUAGCCGCGGUAAUCUGAGCGGGCUGGCAAGGC